RNAcentral lists this ribosomal RNA (443 nucleotides) under uncultured bacterium. Its description in RNAcentral is "bacterial SSU rRNA". It matches the Rfam family "Bacterial small subunit ribosomal RNA", at positions 958 to 1397 of the family's 1533-position model. The record is from RNAcentral.
AACGCGAAGAACCUUACCUGGGCUUGAACUACUGGUAGUAAGCCGUUGGAAACAUCGGCUGAUCCGCAAGGAAGCCAGCAGAGGUGCUGCAUGGUUGUCGUCAGCUCGUGUCGUGAGAUGUUGGGUUAAGUCCCGCAACGAGCGCAACCCCUAUCUCAUGUUGCUAUUCCCGCAAGGGAAGCACUCUUGAGAAACUGCCUUCGAUAAGAAGGAGGAAGGUGGGGACGACGUCAAAUCCUCAUGGCCCUUAUGUCCAGGGCAACACACGUGCUACAAUGGGCGGUACAAAGCGCUGCAAACCCGCGAGGGGGAGCUAAUCGCAAAAAACCGUUCUCAGUUCGGAUCGCAGGCUGCAACUCGCCUGCGUGAAGCUGGAAUCGCUAGUAAUGGCGUAUCAGAAUGAUGCCGUGAAUACGUUCCCGGGCCUUGUACACACCGGCUAC